UGAUAUAAAAUAUAGAAACCUGAAAUGUUUCAAAAUUUUUAAUUUAUUUUUUUUAGAAAGUUAAUAUUAAAAAUAUCUUUUUAACGUUCAAAGUUAUUUCAAAUAUAUUUCUAGAGUUAAAUUCUGUUGUUAUCUCUGUGAAAUUAUUAUUUUGUCUUUUCAAAUAUACCCUUUUAUCAUUACAAACUUUUCUUAUUUGUUCUUAAGUUAGGGAUAAAAAAAAUAUUUUAAUUUUUUAUCUUUUCAAAUGUACCCUUCUACAGUCACUAAUUUUUCUUAAUUGCUUUUAAGUUAAGGAUAAAAAAGGUAUUUUAAUUUUUUUUAACUCUGGUAGAUAUUUAACAUAUUUUUAAUCCGAGAUAACUUAACUGGUGGUAACUUGGGUGCAUUUUUGAAUAACGGGGUAACAUAUGAGAGGUAUAUUUGAAACAAAAUAAAAAUAGAGAUAAAUUAGAUAUUUCUGAAAAUUUGAAGGGUAUAUAGGUAAUUAUCCCAAAUAUAUAUAUAUAGAGGUACAAUUAAUAAUAUAUAGAUGCAAAAUUUAACUAUGGCAUAUUUAUCCCUCCAAACUUUAAAUCAUAAAUAAUUGUUGUAAAUCUUUUAAAAAAUUGCAAAUAUAUUCU
This 623-nucleotide long non-coding RNA is filed under the name Ananas comosus (pineapple). RNAcentral's name for it is "long non-coding RNA (ACOM_LNC009474)". Lineage: Eukaryota; Viridiplantae; Streptophyta; Magnoliopsida; Poales; Bromeliaceae. The record is from RNAcentral.